UCAGCAUAACUGAGUGAAACUGUUCAUACUGUUCAUACAUUGUAUCAAUAAAUCUAUAAAAUACAUAUUGCAAGUCCAAAUAUAUGGCCUGGAGGUCAACGUUGCAAUACCAUUGUAUUAUUGUCGAGAACUUUGAUACUUAAGCUAAAUAAGAAUUGUAUAUUCCCAUAAUUUCAUUAUUGAACGAGGUGAUAUAACCUAAACAAGAUAGGAAUUUGUGGAAUGUGUAUUUCAAACGACAUUGAAGAUGAUAUAUAUAAUUACUUCCGAUUGUAAACCUUUUUUAAUAGGAUUAGCUAUUUUCUGUACCAAGACGUUUAUUGUAAGAAACUUGAAUGUUUAAAAUCCCUUCGAAUCGUCACAUAUAUAAUUGUAAAAAAUAUCUUUAGUUUUCAUGAUAUUGUAGAACAUAUUUGUAAAGCAAAUACUGCAUAAUUCUUAAUACCUUCUUUUAUGCAUGAACUACUUGUGUUUUGUAUUUAUAACGAUGAACUAUAUAUGCUUAAGUUAAAUAAACAUGUUCGUCUGCUCUGUUCUGUUCGGCCAAAACAUCCAAUCAAAGCAAAAUGAAAAAUUAGGUAAAAUACCACUUUUUAAAUUAUAGACAUAUUAAAUCACCAAAUGCAACGCAAUCAUAAAUGUUUGGCUGUAAGGCAUAUUUUUUAUAGUUUGUUUUAUUUUACUUUCAUUUUUUUAAACAGAAUACCAUAGAAAACGUAAACGUUUGUUUAAGUUAACGAUAAAGUCCGCGUAAUAUGUUACUACCCUCGUUUUCCAUUGUUUUGUUUUGUACUAGAUUUUAUCUUUAAAGGAUUUGAACAGAUCAGAAAUAUGUGUGUUUACAUUCUGAAUCUGGCAAAACAUUCCCCCGAUGUAUGUACUGCUGAAAUUGGGAUUGAAUGCGAUAUCUGUUACUUUUACAUUUCGGUUGAAAGAAGAAAGAUUAAGAUUAACACAAUUUAAAAAUUGUCAAUUUCAAUAAAAUGUGACUUAAAAUGCACUGUUUUGCCGAAAAGCGCUUGAGAAAAACAAGAGACAAAGAACCGUGUAUAUUGUUGUUUAAAUAAUUAUUAAAUGACCCGUUAAAGCGCAUUUUUGACUGUCUUAUUAUAAUUUGUGCCAUCGUGUUUGAAAAUUAGUGCAGAUGCAAUUGAACAUGAAGUAAAACAAUCUAAACUAGUGUAUUGUGCCCAGUACUUCUUCCAUUGUAUUAUUGUAAAUUGAUAAUUAUUUUGUCUACAGCCAUUCUGGGCCAGAAUUGUUUACUUACUAACGAAAGUUAACAUAUGGACAACUUAUCAAAGUGUUUUACAAUUGGUUGUUGAAAUUUAAAUAAUUUAGAUAGUGAUUGGUACAAUAAGAUUACAAAACAUAAUUCUCUAUUGUAUGUCUCUUCUUUAAAGGGGCUGUUUCAGGUACGAUAAAAUAGCGAAAAAAAAGAAAAAUGUCGAAAACUAACAUAAACUUGGCAUCAAUGUGUACAAUGCAUUGAAACUUACUAACUGAAGUACCACAUCGUUUACAAUUUAUUUAAGUUUAGCAGUUAUUUCGUAUUUUUCUAUUAAAAAAGAUUACUGGGUAUGUCUACCAGUUAGAAGUCAUUCCUUAUGCGUGAUUGGCUAGUCGGUGUUAUCACGUGAUAUUACCGAGGUCUUACGCAGAUAUUUGGGGAGUUGUUACACAAUUUUAUGCAGAAUCUGAUAUUGAUGGUGGAGGUCGCGAAUGGCGAGGAAAUUAACAAUGAAGAAAUUCAGGCACAGACAAAUAAAAAAAUAGCAAAGAUUACAGAAAAUGUUUAUAAGCAAGCAGUCCAUCUUCAGCGAAAGACAAGAAAACUCUCACACUAUCUCACACAGAGUCCAAACUUAAACGAGAUUUACGUUAGUCUAACGGAAAAUUUUGUGGUUAAAACGUGUGUAAUUGAUAUUCCAAAAGCAGCAUUGAAAUACUACGAUUGUUUCAGAAGUGAUCAUUUAAAAAACAUUCAACAGAAAGGGAACCACUCUCUCCAAGCAAAAAAUGUUAUGGCGUUCAACAGUACCUUUUUUAUUGAUGGUUAUACUAGUUUAAUGGGAUUCACUGGGAGUACUGACAUCUUCAGCCAAAAUGGAUCACCAUUAAGUUAUGACAGCGAUCAAUUUUCAGAACUGAUACAGAAAGACGUUGUCCAGUCUUUAUACAGAACAAUUCAGAGACUGUCUGAACAACACUCUGGUAAAUCCUUUUUAUCGAAUGCAAUUUCGCAUGAGGCGAUUAAAGGAACCGGAAAUCUAACACAUGGAUCAAACAUUACAGUGAUUAAUGGAAUACGGUUUAGUACGAGGGUCACAAUAACUACGGAAUAUUUUCAAAGAGCACUGCGAUACUGUGAGGGAUACGAUUACGUGCUGACCCAUACAAAUAUAUUUCCACACAACAUCAGGAUGUUCCUUCAUCUUCCAGUCCUAAGGGGAUAUACUAUUCACACUAUUGAUUGUAAAGUCGGGCGAAACUUCUUCUGAGCUUAAUAUGAAUAAUUUGUAAACAUAUUAUGACGUGACUGUCAACCCAGUUUGUUAUUUUAUUCGAGCGAUUUUGACUUAUCGAUGGAUAAAGAGACAUGUUUGUAAAUGUUAGAAUCUUGAACGAUAUGUUUUGUAAACCAUUUUAACGAGCAACAUACAGAACAAUAGACACCGUUUAAAACAAAGGGUACUUCGCGUACACAAACACAAUUCUGAUAUUGCUGUAUGAUAUAUUUGAAACUGCAACGUUUACGUAAACAGAUUCAUACGUCAAUGA
This is an RNA transcript of Mya arenaria, 2781 nucleotides long. RefSeq lists it as uncharacterized. The record is from RefSeq and is a predicted model, not a curated record. The transcript has 2 exons. NCBI's taxonomy places the organism in Eukaryota, Metazoa, Mollusca, Bivalvia, Myida, Myidae.